AACCAAUAUAUGUCAGAUGUUACAUGCACUUGUGUGACCUGAGCCACUCCCCUUAGUUCUUAGAAGUUCUUGCUUUCAAAGAAUGGGAGUGUCGAGAAACAGAAAGGAGACAAGAGGAGCAGAACAAAUUAGGGCAAAGGACCCCAGCAGGAAGAGGAGUUGCUGAAGGUGGGGAACAGCAUCCACAUUUCACACUUCCUUCUCUGACUUCAAUCAGUGUAAGCAAUUGGCCCCCAGACAUGUGUGGACGGAGGAAGGUAGAACCAGCCAUCUGGGGACCCUGUCCUCCCACAUCCCCUGACUGGCACAGGGGAGUCCAUUCUGCUCUGAGAAAGCAGUGUGCAUCCAGACAUCCAGAACUGCCCUGGAGGAGCUGUGUUUUAUUCAAAAGCCUGUAACUUUAGCAAUCUCCCCUUCAAAGGAAUGUUCUGUAAUUGAAGGCAUGCUCCAUACCCACUCUAUUGUGUUUCAUGCACUCUGCCAAAAUAAUUACUUUUCACACCAACUCUUGGAUAUAGAUAAACCUUGGGUAGUCCAAGGAGGAUAGAGCCAAGGAAAGUUAUCACCUCUUGCUCCAUGAGACUUUUCCAUCAGCUUCCAGCCUCUCAGUCACAUACCCAGAAGCAAGCCAAAAAAUCCACCCACCCCAAAACAUACCCCAAAGCCCAGGCUCCUUGUUCCUGCUCGGUACUCAAGCCAUAGGGUAUCUGACCUAUCUUACACCACUAGUUAUCUGGCUGUCACAGCUCCACAGAACAUCACAGUAGGAGCAGCAAGGUGGGCAGGACUGGGUGGCAGGUGGGAGGAAGAAUAGGAGGGGUGGCUGCAGAAACAGAGCAGGGAUGGCAGCUGGCAGGGAGCCUGCCUCAGGCCUGCCAUUGCCACUCCUCACUGAGGGCCUAGCAUGCCCAAAGGGUUCCCCCACCCACCUGCCCCCUAUUCCAUACCACCUUAGUCCUCCCUUGAGCCUUGACUCCCUUUCCAAGCUGGCUUCCCACUCCCAUUUCCUUCGGGUGGCCUCAAGCUGCACUGAGGUUCAGACUGCCUCCCAGCUUAGAGGAAGAGUCCUUUCCUGUCAGAAUCCAGGUCUGUGCUGGUGAUGGCUUUUGGCUGAGGUGAUCGCAGUGGAGCUCUGAGCGCCACUGUGAAAUUGUACUCCAGCCAGCUGCAAUAGACUCCCUGCCUCUGGGAAUCUAAGAAAGGAGAAGCCCAGGACUUUCCCAGAGGAUGGGGGCCAGCUCUUGAGAUUCCUCUUAGCACCAGGACCUGAUUUUAACAUGGCCACACCAAGAUACAGGUUCUCUGCAGGUGCCUUGAAGGCAAGGGCUUCUGCCCCUCUUGUGUCAGCCCUGUUCCCAGGUGGACUUUCCUCUCC
This is a long non-coding RNA of Heterocephalus glaber (naked mole-rat), 1375 nucleotides long. The record is from Ensembl. NCBI's taxonomy places the organism in Eukaryota, Metazoa, Chordata, Mammalia, Rodentia, Bathyergidae.